CUUAUGUCCAACUCUGCUGACGUGGCACCACGCCACGUCAGCCAUCAUUUAAAAAAAAAAAAAAAAAAAAAAUUUCAAAAUCAGCGUGAAAACGAUUUCAGUAUACCUAUACCCAUUUCACCAUUUUCCCCCAAACCCAUUUUCCCCCCAAAUCUCUUCCUCCCUCAACCCCAUCUACCGCCACCCACGACCACCACCACCGUCGAACACCCACGAGCCCUCCAUCAGUACGAACGUACAGCAGCACGUCGGCUCCAUCUCCAUCUCCGUCUCCAUCUCCGGAUCCAGCUCCAUCUCCAUCUCCGGAUCUCCGUGAAGCUCCACCGUUUGUUCUCCAUCUCCAGAUGAAGCUGCUAGAGCUUUGCACCAUGCUACAACAGUCUCAGUAAUAAGGUGUACCCCAGAUUCCUUCGAGGAUGCAUAGGCUGAGAAAUACAUGUCAAGCGUACCGAAGAGAUUCCAAGAUCUGAGAUAUGAUGUUUCAUCUUGAGAUGUAAUUAGGGUACUAGCCUUUAACUGAAGGGUUCAAACACAAUUGUUAAGUCAACAAAGGACAUCUGUAUGUGCAUGGAUCUCUAUUUUGCGAGGAUAGGUAGAAUGUGUCCUUUAUCUUUUUGUGCAAUGUGAUAAGAAGAGUUAAAAAAAAAUCAUGCUUUUCAAAAUUGGCUUUA
This is a long non-coding RNA of Alnus glutinosa, 671 nucleotides long. RefSeq lists it as uncharacterized. The record is from RefSeq and is a predicted model, not a curated record. Lineage: Eukaryota; Viridiplantae; Streptophyta; Magnoliopsida; Fagales; Betulaceae. The transcript has 2 exons.